GAUAAAAAGUUUCAUUUGUAAAUUCCACUAUUUACAGUCAUGUUUAAAUGUAUAAAUUACCGGUGAAUUUUGGUAAGCACUGAAUUGAGAUAAAAAUAGUAUAUACCGAUGGCAUUUUAGUACCAAAACACGGCCACACGAACUGCUGUAAAAUGUUUGUGACAAUGUGAAUUACGCAACAACAACAACAACCGACCUGUCAAAACUGACACGUUAAAACGCUCUCUUCUGUGUCUUACUGUGAAUGCGAACACACGCAUUUUUGAACGACGGACCGAUUCACAUUGACGAAAGGACUUACAGCAUAUCGUGUGACAGUGGAAAAUUAAAUCAAACGAUAAAAGUUAAAGAGAAAUACCCGGAUAAUAUUGAUAAGACAGAAAAAGAACCGAAAGUCAAGAAGAGAUACAUUUUGUGGUUAAGAUUCGCAGCCUUAAGCUGCGCCUGGCCUGGGACUGAAUACAUAACGAGAUCACACCAUUUAUCGAACGCAUCGAGAGUCGAAUAACAACCCGGAUCACAUCACAAACGAAGCAUUUAAAGACGAAUUUGUUGGAUAUUCACGGCCGCUGGACAUUUGCGAGAGCUGACGAAUAUCAAUUGUGAUACAACCAUUCGGACACGUGGUCUACAGGUUAGAAUCGAAUACACAGGCGCCCACCGUUAGUUGAUCGAUCAAGUUAGGUUAUGUUAGGUUUGCUAUGACCAUUGAACAGUAAAUCGGUUUCUAUCAUAUUUGAUAUUACUCAAUCGGUUGCAUUAUUGAAAUUAAAGCUAAUCCGGAUUAUAAUCUUAUUAACUAAGUUGCAUACGAAUAUUAAGACAAGAAAAUAGAAAUACGGUACAACACAAAUUCACCGUGCAUAUCGGUCGCGUUAUAACCGACACUUAUUUGCUAUUAAAGAACAUUUCCAUUGUAAAUUUCAA
Long non-coding RNA from Contarinia nasturtii (swede midge), 927 nucleotides. RefSeq lists it as uncharacterized. The record is from RefSeq and is a predicted model, not a curated record. The transcript is spliced from 2 exons. Lineage: Eukaryota; Metazoa; Arthropoda; Insecta; Diptera; Cecidomyiidae.